AGGACGAACGCUGGCGGCGUGCCUAACACAUGCAAGUCGAACGCGCUCCAUUCGGUAGCAAUACUGAUGAAGAGUGAGUGGCGAACGGGUGAGUAACACAUGAGCAACCUGCCCCGAAGACUGGGACAACACCGGGAAACCGGUGCUAAUACCGGAUAUCCCUAUCGGACCGCAUGAUCUGAUAAGGAAAUGGAUUCCGCUUCGGGAGGGGCUCGUGGCCUAUCAGCUAGUUGGUGAGGUAACGGCUCACCAAGGCAUCGACGGGUAGCUGGUCUGAGAGGACGAUCAGCCACACUGGGACUGAGACACGGCCCAGACUCCUACGGGAGGCAGCAGUGGGGAAUCUUGCGCAAUGGGCGAAAGCCUGACGCAGCAACGCCGCGUGGAGGACGAAGGCUUUCUGAGUUGUAAACUCCUUUCAGCAGGGACGAUAGUGACGGUACCUGCAGAAGAGCACCGGCAACUACGCGCCAGCAG
This 477-nucleotide ribosomal RNA is filed under the name uncultured bacterium. Its description in RNAcentral is "SSU rRNA". It matches the Rfam family "Bacterial small subunit ribosomal RNA", at positions 26 to 514 of the family's 1533-position model. The record is from RNAcentral.